Long non-coding RNA from Passer domesticus (house sparrow), 598 nucleotides. RefSeq lists it as uncharacterized. NCBI's taxonomy places the organism in Eukaryota, Metazoa, Chordata, Aves, Passeriformes, Passeridae. The transcript has 3 exons. The record is from RefSeq and is a predicted model, not a curated record.
CAUGGCCCAGCUGCAGUGAGAGUGCCAAAGAGCCACCACAGCCCAGGCCAUGGGACCAGAGCAUUAAACCCACAAUGCCACCUCAACUAUAAAACCUUUGCCUCUUCUCCAUGUUGCAUUAUACAGCUGUUUCACAAAGAUUGUGCUGCCAACAUUACAUGGAAAAUGUUGGAGAGGAAGGAAAUUAUCCCUUUCAGUUUCUGCCAUUGCAUUUGUCUUCAUUCCCUGAGGCUUUAUGGGCACAAACUACAGUCAAGACAAGAGGGGGAGCAUGCUAUCUGACUUCAGGCAGUGAAACUGAGAUGCCCAUGGAAGGAUAAGAUGUGAAUUAUUACAGAGAGAAGCAAUGCUGAAGCUGCCCAGGUUGAUAUGUAUUUAUACAUGGAUAGCAAAUGUUGUAUGCAGUUUGAGUGACAUAAAUUACAAUUCCUGGCUGGGCUAUUAAAAUCUGUUUUUACAGCAAGUGAACAAAGGGAAAUUAAAGCAGAUUUGCUGAACCUGCAGGACACAGAUAAACAUGGAAGCAGAACUCAGCCAGAAAUCCCAAUGUCUAUGGUGAGAUCUAGCAGAAAAAGUUAAUAAACUGUCAAAAACAUAA